UAGUCCACGCCGUAAACGAUGUACAUUAGUUGUUGGUAAGUUAAUCUUAUCAGUAAUGCAGUUAACACAUUAAAUGUACCGCCUGGGGAGUACGGUCGCAAGAUUAAAACUCAAAGGAAUAGACGGGGACCCGCACAAGCGGUGGAGCAUGUGGUUUAAUUCGAAGAUACGCGAAGAACCUUACCUGGCCUUGACAUCCUUCGAAUCUGAUAGAGAUAUUAGAGUGCUAGUUUACUAGAGCGAAGUGACAGGUGCUGCACGGCUGUCGUCAGCUCGUGUCGUGAGAUGUUGGGUUAAGUCCCGCAACGAGCGCAACCCUUAUCUUUAGUUACUAACAGGUUAAGCUGAGGACUCUAAAGAGACUGCCUGGGCAACCAGGAGGAAGGUGAGGACGACGUCAAGUCAUCAUGGCCCUUACGGCCAGGGCUACACACGUGCUACAAUGGCUAGGACAAUGAGAUGCGAAAUUGCGAGAUGGAGCAAAUCUAUAAACCUAGUCCC
This 501-nucleotide ribosomal RNA is filed under the name uncultured bacterium. Its description in RNAcentral is "bacterial SSU rRNA". It matches the Rfam family "Bacterial small subunit ribosomal RNA", at positions 791 to 1289 of the family's 1533-position model. The record is from RNAcentral.